ACAGCCCAAUGGUAGGGCGUCAGACUUCUAUUCUUCUUAUUCUUCUAAAAGUUCAUCUGAAGGCUGCGGGUUCGAGCCCCGCCGGGGGUA
The sequence is a transfer RNA, 90 nucleotides long. The stretch from base 3 to 82 matches the Rfam family "tRNA", at positions 9 to 63 of the family's 71-position model. Rfam says of the family: Transfer RNA (tRNA) molecules are approximately 80 nucleotides in length.